This 460-nucleotide ribosomal RNA is filed under the name uncultured bacterium. RNAcentral's name for it is "partial 16S ribosomal RNA". It matches the Rfam family "Bacterial small subunit ribosomal RNA", at positions 338 to 795 of the family's 1533-position model. The record is from RNAcentral.
CCUACGGGUGGCAGCAGUGAGGAAUAUUGGUCAAUGGGCGCUAGCCUGAACCAGCCAAGUAGCGUGAAGGAUGACUGCCCUAAGGGUUGUAAACUUCUUUUAUAUGGGAAUAAAGUGCAGUAUGUAUACUGCUUUGCAUGUACCUUAUGAAUAAGGAUCGGCUAACUCCGUGCCAGCAGCCGCGGUAAUACGGAGGAUGCGAGCGUUAUCCGGAUUUAUUGGGUUUAAAGGGAGCGUAGGCGGGUUGUUAAGUCAGUUGUGAAAGUUUGCGGCUCAACCGUAAAAUUGCAGUUGAUACUGGCAGUCUUGAGAACAGGAGAGGUAUGCGGAAUUCGUAGUGUAGCGGUGAAAUGCUUAGAUAUCACGAAGAACUCCGAUUGCGAAGGCAGCAUGCUGGCCUGUAACUGACGCUGAUGCUCGAAAGUGUGGGUAUCAAACAGGAUUAGAUACCCUUGUAGUC